This 1157-nucleotide ribosomal RNA is filed under the name Derogenes varicus. RNAcentral's name for it is "eukaryotic LSU rRNA". It matches the Rfam family "Eukaryotic large subunit ribosomal RNA", at positions 63 to 941 of the family's 3401-position model. The record is from RNAcentral. Lineage: Eukaryota; Metazoa; Platyhelminthes; Trematoda; Azygiida; Derogenidae.
AACUAACCAGGAUUCCCCUAGUAACGGCGAGUGAAGAGGGAAGAGCCCAGCACCGAAGCCUGUGGCCGUUUGGUCACUAGGCAAUGUGGUGUUUAGGUUGGUCUUGCGAAGUCAUUGCUCUGCUCAAAGUCCUGUUAUGAAUACGGUUUUAUGGACAUAGCCCACAGAGGGUGAAAGGCCCGUGUGAGCGGAGACAUCGGCAGUGGCUUCCUUGAUCGACCUUGGAGUCGGGUUGUUUGAGAAUGCAGCCCAAAGUGGGUGGUAAACUCCAUCCAAGGCUCAAUACUGGCACGAGUCCGAUAGCGAACAAGUACCGUGAGGGAAAGUUGAAAAGUACUCUGAAGAGAGAGUAAACAGUACGUGAAACUGCUCAGAGGUAAACGGAUAGAGUUGAACUGCAAGCCCGAAAGAUUCAGCUGGUGAACAUAACUUGAGCUUGGUCAUAAUGGUCGGCUUCAGGGGUCUGCUUAAAUGCGGGUCGCUGCCCUUGGGUGGCGAUUAGCGAUGCACUUAUCAUGUGUUGCUUGUCUUUGUUGUCGCGGACCAGUUUGCCAGUGCACUUCUUCCGGGUCAUCACCACGACCGGCGCUGCUGUCUGUCUGCUGUCACAUUUGAAAGGUAGCUUGUUAGCCUUCGGGCUUCCAAGUGUAAUAAUCAGUGGCAGUGGAGCUGUGCAGUGUGUCGGAGACGGCGGCUUUGAUGUCGUUGUGAGUGCACAUGUGUGCUUGCGAUGAUGCAUUAUUGGGCCAAUAGUCUGUGGUGUAGUGGUAAGCUCUCUAUCCGACCCGUCUUGAAACACGGACCAAGGAGUUUAACAUGUGCGCGAGUCAUUGGGUUCUACGAAACCUACAGGCGCAGUGAAAGUAAAUGUUUGGCUUGUCCGAACUGAGGUGAGAUCUUGUCGUUUCUCAUGCGUGGUACUACCAAGUAUUCGAGCGGCAGGCGCAUCACCGGCCCGUCCCAUGGUGUGGUCAUGGUUCCUUUUGGCACUAUGCGUCACCGGGGCGGAGCAUGAGCGUACAUGUUGAGACCCGAAAGAUGGUGAACUAUGCUUGUGCAGGUUGAAGCCAGAGGAAACUCUGGUGGAGGACCGCAGCGAUUCUGACGUGCAAAUCGAUCGUCAAACAUGAGCAUAGGGGCGAAAGACUAAUCGAACC